RNAcentral lists this signal recognition particle RNA (195 nucleotides) under Candidatus Blautia pullistercoris. RNAcentral's name for it is "partial signal recognition particle sRNA large type". It matches the Rfam family "Bacterial large signal recognition particle RNA", at positions 1 to 194 of the family's 256-position model. Rfam says of the family: The signal recognition particle (SRP) is a universally conserved ribonucleoprotein involved in the co-translational targeting of proteins to membranes. The record is from RNAcentral. Lineage: Bacteria; Bacillati; Bacillota; Clostridia; Lachnospirales; Lachnospiraceae.
CCGUGCAGCCGGGGAGAUAGCGGUGCCCUGUACCUGCAAUCCGCUACAGCAGGGGUGAUGCCAAACCGAGGGAUUUCUUUCUGUGGAGCUGCCCUCUAUAAGUGGCGUUGACGUCUGGGUCUUACGCAACAGGAAUCUGUGAACCGUGUCAGGGCAGGAAUGCAGCAGCACUAAGCAGAACCUUCUGUGUGCCGU